AACGCACAUUGCGCCCCUCGGUAUUCCGUGGGGCAUGCCUGUUCGAGCGUCAUUUACACCCUCAAGCUCUGCUUGGUGUUGGGCGUCUGUCCCGCUUCAUGCGCGGACUCGCCCCAAAGUCAUUGGCAGCGGUCGUGCCAGCUUCUCGCGCAGCACAUUUGCGUUUCUUGAAGCUUGGUGGAUCAGCAUCCAGUAAGUUCUUUUAUGACUUGACCUCGGAUCAGGUAGGGAUACCCGCUGAACUUAA
Molecule: unclassified non-coding RNA, 247 nt
Filed under: uncultured Pleosporales
Lineage: Eukaryota; Fungi; Ascomycota; Dothideomycetes; Pleosporales
Description: sequence contains 5.8S rRNA gene, ITS2, 28S rRNA gene
Source: RNAcentral